RNAcentral lists this non-coding RNA (127 nucleotides) under Propithecus coquereli (Coquerel's sifaka). The record is from RNAcentral. Lineage: Eukaryota; Metazoa; Chordata; Mammalia; Primates; Indriidae.
AACAUCCUGUCCUUGGAGUUGCGCUACUGUUCAGUGAGUGUAUAGUGAGGGUAGUACUGUUAACACCUACAAAACACACCUACAUCAACUAGAGCUUUGCUUUACCUCGGUUUUACUAUCUAUAUAA